This 472-nucleotide ribosomal RNA is filed under the name uncultured bacterium. Its description in RNAcentral is "partial 16S ribosomal RNA". It matches the Rfam family "Bacterial small subunit ribosomal RNA", at positions 28 to 507 of the family's 1533-position model. The record is from RNAcentral.
GACGAACGCUGGCGGCGUGCUUAACACAUGCAAGUCGAACGAUGAACCCGGAGCUUGCUCUGGGGGAUUAGUGGCGAACGGGUGAGUAACACGUGAGUAACCUGCCCUGGACUCUGGGAUAAGCGUUGGAAACGACGUCUAAUACCGGAUAGGACCUUGGAUCGCAUGAUCUGGGGUGGAAAGUUUUUUCGGUCUGGGAUGGACUCGCGGCCUAUCAGCUUGUUGGUGAGGUAAUGGCUCACCAAGGCGUCGACGGGUAGCCGGCCUGAGAGGGUGACCGGCCACACUGGGACUGAGACACGGCCCAGACUCCGACGGGAGGCAGCAGUGGGGAAUAUUGCACAAUGGGCGAAAGCCUGAUGCAGCAACGCCGCGUGCGGGAUGACGGCCUUCGGGUUGUAAACCGCUUUUAGUAGGGAAGAAGGGCUUCGGCUUGACGGUACCUGCAGAAAAAGGACCGGCUAACUACGUG